RNAcentral lists this ribosomal RNA (480 nucleotides) under uncultured bacterium. RNAcentral's name for it is "partial 16S ribosomal RNA". It matches the Rfam family "Bacterial small subunit ribosomal RNA", at positions 28 to 507 of the family's 1533-position model. The record is from RNAcentral.
GAUGAACGCUAGCGGCAGGCCUAACACAUGCAAGUCGAGGGGUAGAAGGAGCUUGCUCCUUUGAGACCGGCGCACGGGUGCGUAACGCGAAUGCAAUCUACCUUGUACAGGGGAAUAGCCCAGAGAAAUUUGGAUUAAUGCCCCAUAGUAUAUAACCUUCGCAUGUUGGUUAUAUUAAAGUUCCAACGGUACAAGAUGAGCAUGCGUCCCAUUAGUUAGUUGGUAAGGUAACGGCUUACCAAGACGAUGAUGGGUAGGGGUCCUGAGAGGGAGAUCCCCCACACUGGUACUGAGACACGGACCAGACUCCUACGGGAGGCAGCAGUGAGGAAUAUUGGUCAAUGGUCGCAAGACUGAACCAGCCAUGCCGCGUGCAGGAAGACGGUCCUAUGGAUUGUAAACUGCUUUUAUACAGGAAGAAACCCUCCCACGUGUGGGAGCUUGACGGUACUGUAGGAAUAAGGAUCGGCUAACUCCGUG